Misgurnus anguillicaudatus (oriental weatherfish) is the source of this 3402-nucleotide non-coding RNA. The record is from RefSeq and is a predicted model, not a curated record. Lineage: Eukaryota; Metazoa; Chordata; Actinopteri; Cypriniformes; Cobitidae.
AUGGUCUAAUUUUGCCCUAUUUGAAAGGGUCAUGAAUAAUAAUGUCGAGCUCUGCUCUGAGGCUCAUGCCAGAAGCUCACAUUAGAAAACAGACCUUAUAUUUUGAGCCCUUAUCAGACAAAAAUACAGAUUUUGAGUAACAACUAAUUGUUAACUAAUAGAACUUCAGCUAAACACUAACAUAUAACAUUUAUUGGCAUGCAAAGCUAACUCAGCAGUCACAACUUUGUUUUUAGCAUUUUAACAAAUUUGUAAUUAAUGUGUAAUUUAAUGUUUUCAAAACAUGCACAUUGUGUAAUGGUUUCCUUUGCUGCUCUAUAAACCUAGAAUCAUAAGAAGACCAUGGUUUCUGUGUGAACUGAUUAUUUUGUAGACAUCUUUUGAAAAUGAAACAAUUGCGUGAGUUUGAGGAAGAUAAUAUGAAUUAACUUUAAAUAAAUUUUUUAAAAAGGAAGUCAGAGUUGCGUUAAUAUAUAUACUUUUUUGUUUAAAAAAAGAAAAAAAAACAUAAUUAUGAGAAGUAGACCUGUUCGAGUCGUGACUCACUCGGAUCUUUCACCCGGAUCUUUAAAUUAACUCAUGAGUCGCGAGUCUCUACCCACCCAGCACAAGACGUCAUUUAGACGUUGUUUUAUGGGCUAAAUCACGUCAGCCCGUCAUGACCUUCAUUUAGUCCAAAAAAAGACGUUGAAAACUGGUCUUUGUUUGGUCCGUCUAAUUCAGUCCAAAUUUAGCCUAAAAUUAGACGUCUUUUUCGGACCACUUUUCAACGUGUCUCCAUUCAAUAAUAAUCCUGACAAAAUAUGCAUGAAUGUAUAAAUACUGAGCACAUUGAACGAUAAUGAAACACAUGCUUUGUUUAAAGUCUAUUAAUAUUUCUGUUUAUUUUAAUUAAAUAAAUAUGUUAAAUGUGCUCUAAACAGGUCAUUUCGGUCCUGUACAGCACUGAUAGAAGCACUUCAUUUUCAUCUUUUAACAAAUAUCUUUAUUUUCUUUUAAUAUGAUAUUAUUGGCAGAGGCGCGCGUCCGUCUCAUGCUUUGUGAUCACGUGAUUAUUCAACGGGGAGAUGCGCGUUCUGGAUUUACUGAUUUUCUCCUCAGAAGUGUUUCUGUUUUGUGGUCGAUUCUGGGAUCCUUUUCUUGGUGUGUCUUGAUGUUUUCUAUUGGCUAAAGACAAUAAAAGCAUAGAGAUAUAUAAAGCAAAGACAACUACAGUAUAAGAUAAUCCUUCAGGAGCCAGUAAAACAUAUACAGUUACAGCAGUAAACAUACUUGUUAUGGGUGCAAAUAAGGAGACUUAGACAUGUCUCUGUGAAACUGACAAUCUCAGGUAGGAGCUGCUGGUUUGUGGUUGGCAGUAUGGAUCACGGUCUGCGACCCAUGAGGAGCUGGUCUGGAGACAUGAAGAGGUUGUCAACAGGCCAUCCAUCCAAGAUCAUCUAUCUGAGCUGCUGAAAACUGCCUCGGUACGGAUCUGUUGGAGCUUUGUGUCACUGACUGUAUUUCUGCAAAUUCCUGUUUCGUGUCACAUUGCUUAUGCAAGACUGAAUCCAUAAAGAUGCUGUAACCAUAAUGCAACCAGGACAACACACCUGGAGUGACCGAGAGCAGGAUGAAGAAGGAAUCGGAUGAGAAAAUGUCAACUGGUGCCCAUGAGGAGACAUAUUGUUCUUGGACCUGCUUUUUAUGUUUAGUAAUAAGUGGUUUUAUGUGGUUAAAUAAAAGUAAUUUAAUAUUAAUAUUUAAUAUUUUAAUAUUCACUCCAAAAUGGUCUAGUAUUGUCACUUAACUUAUGCUGCUUGACUUCUCAGCAUAAAGAUCAUUAUUAAAUUAAUAUUAAAUAUUUCAAAUUUAGAAAUAGGCUACCCCAUGCCAUCUAGUAAAGAAGUGGGUAAUCCGUGCCUGUCGUGUACCCAGCACUACACCAUAUGGCAUCAUUGAUGUCUGUUGUAGAUAUAUAACUGUUAUUAAAUAAUUAUAUUGUAUUUCUUUCUAUUUAAGUCCAAGUUCAAAAUAAAACUAUAAACCUCUCCAUUGUGAAAUGGUUUAUAUACAUUCAAAAUGGAGCGGUUUAUAGAGUUUUAUUUUGAACUUGGACAUAAAUACAAAAAAUACAAUAUAAUUAUUUAAUAACAAAGUUAUAUAUCUACUAACAGCGGACAUCAAUGAUGCCAUAUGGCCCGGCGUUGCAUUGACCCCUCAGAUCUGAUUUGUGCAUUUUUGUAUUCAUGGUUAAAAUGUUCAACUUUUUGAUUGUAAUAAUAAUUUAACCUUUAAAAUGUUCAGUGACAUUACUGUCAGAUUCAAACGUGUUUCGCGCUGAGCCAGACGGACGAGCUCAGUGCUGUCAUAUAGCAACACUAUGCAGUGUUUUCAACCUCAUAAUGUUUAUUUUAGAUUUCAGACAUUUAAAUAUACACAUAAGCACUGGUAAAACAAUAGCCUACAUUUGUAAAAUACACACUGAUGUCUGUGGAAGCAGCAAUACAAAUCUAUUCAAAUAAGAUAGUAAUUUGCAAAUAAUAAAUAAAUAUUAUUUUCAAAUAAUAAUAAUUUGCCGACGUAUCAGACAAACACAGUGAGUAUAAAGUUUACUUUAUUGUUAUAAAGGUUAUAAUGAAAAGACGGGGAUGCGCUCCUCCCUUGCGAAAAAUAAGCGUGCUUAAAUGUACUUUUAUAAAGUGUACUUAUUACAUAAAUAUAAUAUACUUUAAUACAGUUAAGUGUGAAUUAAAUGCAAUCUUUUCGGCGCACUUAAUGCACAUUAAAUGUAAUUAAUUUCAAAUAUAUCAUAUAUUAAGUUGAAAUAAAAUUUAAUAAGUUGCCAUUAAGAGUUAACUUAAUUGGUACUUUAUUACAACUUUAUAUCUACUUUCAUAAUUGCUUCUAGUGUUUUUACAAUAUAGGCUACUUAAAGUGCACUACACAAUAUAAUGACAUGAAAUUAAUGUGACUUAAAAUACACUUUAAUGUCGGUUAACAGUAAACUUAAGUGUGGAUUAUAUCCAAUGUUUUCAGCGAAAUUAAUAAACAUUAAGUGUAAUUAAUUUCAAAUGUAUCACAUAUUAAGUUGAAAUUAAAACCAAUAAGUUGCCAUUAAGAGUGCUUUUUUUUGCAUCAACUUAUGUGGGUCUUUAAUACAACUUUAUAUUUACUUUCAUAAUUGCUUCUAGUGUUUUUAAAAUAUAGUUAAAGUGCACUGUUCAAUCUGCUGUCAAGCAAUUAAAGCUCACGUAACACACGCUGUUUCUGCAUUUCUGAUAUUAAUCUGGAGUACCUAUAGAGUAGUAUGACAUCCUUUAUAUCUCUGAAGAGUCUUUAGUUUAAUCAGAUUUAUAAAAGAAAGAUUAGCUUUACCGAAUCUUUCCGAUAACGUACGAAAAAAUGAAGAAGGAGGAGUUA